CACGUUCCCGUACGAUCACCGAAGUUAAACAACGUCGGGCCUGGUCAGUAUCUAGAUGGGUGACUGCUUGCUAAUAACAAGUGCAGUAA
Non-coding RNA from Acanthosepion pharaonis, 89 nucleotides. The record is from the annotation of a GenBank genome assembly. Lineage: Eukaryota; Metazoa; Mollusca; Cephalopoda; Sepiida; Sepiidae.